Molecule: ribosomal RNA, 110 nt
Filed under: Haloragis erecta
Lineage: Eukaryota; Viridiplantae; Streptophyta; Magnoliopsida; Saxifragales; Haloragaceae
Description: partial 5.8S ribosomal RNA
Rfam family: 5.8S ribosomal RNA
About the family: 5.8S ribosomal RNA (5.8S rRNA) is a component of the large subunit of the eukaryotic ribosome. It is transcribed by RNA polymerase I as part of the 45S precursor that also contains 18S and 28S rRNA. Functionally, it is thought that 5.8S rRNA may be involved in ribosome translocation.
Source: RNAcentral
GAAUGCGAUACUUGGUGUGAAUUGCAGAAUCCCGUGAACCAUCGAGUCUUUGAACGCAAGUUGCGCCCGAAGCCAUUCGGCCAAGGGCACGCCUGCCUGGGCGUCACGUA